This 402-nucleotide ribosomal RNA is filed under the name uncultured bacterium. RNAcentral's name for it is "bacterial SSU rRNA". It matches the Rfam family "Bacterial small subunit ribosomal RNA", at positions 355 to 774 of the family's 1533-position model. The record is from RNAcentral.
UGGGGAAUCUUGCACAAUGGGGGCAACCCUGAUGCAGCGACGCCGCGUGAGCGAUGAAGCCCUUCGGGGCGUAAAGCUCUUUCGACCGGAACGAUAAUGACGGUACCGGGAGAAGAAGCUGCGGCUAACUACGUGCCAGCAGCCGCGGUAAUACGUAGGCAGCAAGCGUUGUUCGGAGUUACUGGGCGUAAAGAGUGCGUAGGCGGUUUUCUAAGUUCGGUGUGAAAUCUCCCGGCUUAACUGGGAGGGUGCGCCGAAGACUGGGAAGCUGGAGUGUGGGAAAGGCAGGCGGAAUUCCUGGUGUAGCGGUGAAAUGCGUAGAUAUCAGGAGGAACACCGGCGGUGUAGACGGCUUGCUAGACUAUAACUGACGCUGAGGCACGAAAGCGUGGGUAGCAAACA